CUUAGAAUGUCACCAGCCGGAGGGACAUCGCCAGAAGAACCUCUGUCACUUUUCAGGCCCCGACCGAGUCACAGAGAGGUUCCCACCAGACGUCCAAGAGGAUACAUCAAACAGACAGUUAGACAAAGAAGUCUGGAGUCUGAGAGAACUAGAGACUAAAUCUGAGACACUCCUGAGGACUGGGAAGAAGAGAAAGAUACACGGGAGCUGGGAAGAGCGCUUGCACUGAGAUAGGAGAGUACCUCAGCCACACUCGCUGGUGGAAACCACCCCUGGAAGGAAGCAGAUGUAGGAUGAAGACAUGCCAAGAUGACUUCAGCUUUUUGGUGCUUUCCCAGGCUCCUUCCUCCAUGGAGUGGCCCAUCUAAAAAUCUUUGUACAAGGAUCCAUGGUGUCGUGACUCAGGACAGAGCAACGGACUGGGAUUCUGGACUUUCUUGCUGCCUUUCUCUGGACAGUAGUUUGAGAACAUUUAAGAUCUCUAGGCUGAUUGCUGGGGAAGCUAGAAAUGGUCUUAUACUGCCACCUGCUGGCAAGUGUAGGCUUUAUCUGGUCUCUACUGGGAGAAGCUUUCUAGGGGUACUGCUCAAAUGACUGUUUGAUGACCCCUGUGGUCCAAAACAACUCUUCUAAGUCUGCUCUCAGUGCCUGGCAUUUCUCCUUCUUUGAGGAUUGCCUCUUUCCAUGACAGAGGAAAAGAGUUUCUCACCACUUGUCACAGAGCAGAUUACUUUCUGCUACAGGGUCUCAGCCAGGUGAGGAUGCUUAGUUGAAAAGGUCAUUUAGAGGGUGGAGAGGAGAAGCUGUGUGCCUAUCAGAGGUUGGCUUAAAUGUUACGGAACUGGCUGGCUUGCUGGCCCAGUGGUAGCAAACUGCUCAAAUGAUGCUGGAUCCAUAUGGAAGCUCACAGCUCGGUGCCGCCAUGAUCCUGGCUGGCUGG
Molecule: long non-coding RNA, 940 nt
Organism: Tupaia belangeri chinensis (Chinese tree shrew)
Lineage: Eukaryota; Metazoa; Chordata; Mammalia; Scandentia; Tupaiidae
Exons: 3
Source: RefSeq, a predicted model, not a curated record